GAUGAAGAACGUAGCGAAAUGCGAUACGUAAUGUGAAUUGCAGAAUUCAGUGAAUCAUCGAAUCUUUGAACGCAUAUUGCGCUCUCUGGUAUUCCGGAGAGCAUGCUUGUUUGAGUAUCAGUAAACACCUCAACUCCCUUUUCUUUUUUGAAAUGGGAGCUGGACUUGAGUGAUCCCAACACUUUUCUCACUGGAAAGUGGCGGGUCAAUUGAAAUGCAGGUGCAGCUGGACUUUUCUCUGAGCUAUAAGCAUAUCUAUUUAGUCUGCCUAAAAAACAGAUUAUUACCUUUGCUGCAGCUAACAUAAAGGAGAUGAGUUCUUGUGCUGACUGAUGCAGGAUUCACAGAGACAGCUUUGCGGCUGACUUUGUAAACUCGAUCUCAAAUCAAGUAAGACUACCCGCUGAACUUAAGCAUAUCAAUAAGCGGAGGA
RNAcentral lists this unclassified non-coding RNA (433 nucleotides) under soil metagenome. RNAcentral's name for it is "partial contains 5.8S ribosomal RNA, internal transcribed spacer 2, and large subunit ribosomal RNA". The stretch from base 1 to 120 matches the Rfam family "5.8S ribosomal RNA", at positions 35 to 154 of the family's 154-position model. The record is from RNAcentral.